RNAcentral lists this ribosomal RNA (440 nucleotides) under uncultured bacterium. RNAcentral describes it as "partial 16S ribosomal RNA". It matches the Rfam family "Bacterial small subunit ribosomal RNA", at positions 338 to 795 of the family's 1533-position model. The record is from RNAcentral.
CCUACGGGAGGCAGCAGUGGGGAAUAUUGCACAAUGGGGGAAACCCUGAUGCAGCGACGCCGCGUGAGUGAAGAAGUAUUUCGGUAUGUAAAGCCCUAUCAGCAGGGAAGAAAAUGACGGUACCUGAUUAAGAAGCCCCGGCUAACUACGUGCCAGCAGCCGCGGUAAUACGUAGGGGGCAAGCGUUAUCCGGAUUUACUGGGUGUAAAGGGGGCGUAGACGGCAGCACAAGUCUGGAGUGAAAUGCCGGGGCUUAACCCCGGAACUGCUUUGGAAACUGUGCAGCUAGAGUGCAGGAGGGGUAGGUGGAAUUCCUAGUGUAGCGGUGAAAUGCGUAGAUAUUAGGAGGAACACCAGUGGCGAAGGCGGCUUACUGGACUGUAACUGACGUUGAGGCUCGAAGGCGUGGGGAGCAAACAGGAUUAGAUACCCUAGUAGUC